Cebus imitator (Panamanian white-faced capuchin) is the source of this 128-nucleotide small nucleolar RNA. NCBI's taxonomy places the organism in Eukaryota, Metazoa, Chordata, Mammalia, Primates, Cebidae. The record is from Ensembl.
UGUGCACGUGCAUGUUUUUCUUUAACUUGCAGACAAAGACUUACAGACAGGUUCCAGAAAUAAAUCCUCUUUUGCAACCCAGAGCUCAUUGUUCAGCAUGAGUUUUGAUACAAAUAAGAGGAGAUAUU